Pongo pygmaeus (Bornean orangutan) is the source of this 5715-nucleotide long non-coding RNA. RefSeq lists it as uncharacterized. The transcript has 2 exons. The record is from RefSeq and is a predicted model, not a curated record. Lineage: Eukaryota; Metazoa; Chordata; Mammalia; Primates; Hominidae.
UUUUUUUUUUUUUUUUUUGAGACAGAGUUCCACCACGCCUGGCUAAUUUUUGUAUUUUUAGUAGAGAUGGGGUUUCACCAUGUUGGCCAGGCUGGUCCAGCUCUGCUUAAGGGUGGCCUGGAGGGCUGCAGGAGGGACCUGCUUGCAGCCCAGGGCAGCUGGACACAGGGAGGCCGCCACACUCAUCCAGCGACUCCACGCUACACAGGGGAGAGAUGCACCAGAGGUGGGAGUUAGACAAACACAGGAGUCAAACCCUGGGGGCAGCACCCUCGCACCUCUCAGCAUGACCAGGGGGCAUUCUGCACGCCGGGAGACCUGGGCUGUCACGAUGGCGGGGUGGGGCGCCACUGGCAUGGAGCAGGAGGUCGGGGAUGCUGCUGGAUGUCCUGCAAUGCACAGGACACCCCCCCACAACAGAGAGCCCACGGUGGCAGAGGCGCCAGGCUGAGACCCUGUGCGAGAAGACCAUGACAAGGCAUCAGCCAUGAGCCAACACCCCUGCCGGGAGGACAGGACCAGCUCCUCUCAGCUUUCCCUCCCAUGGACCCUAGACUUGGGCUUGGUCCUGGCUUCGACAUGAAGCCCCAGGCACUGGGCAGGACUGGAAGGAAUGGCUGAGCAGCCCACUCAUCCAGCAACCACCCAGCCUCCACACCGGGCAGUCUGCUAUCCAGUCAGCCUCCACCCACAAGGAGGGGACAGCGUGACAGGGGAGGGAGGAAGAGAAUCACCGUGGACAGACGGUGACAUUUGCCAGAGCCCACAGAGACGCGAGAACAGACCCAGUGCAGAGCCUGAGUGGGGCCCUCCAGCCCCUUCCUUGUGCCUAAGAGGCAUCUUCCUCAGGGGCUGGUGGGGCUGCCGUGAAAGCAAACGCACAGCCAAACCCCGGGUUGGGGGAAGGCAAACUGCAAAGGCCGCGGCGACCCCGGCACAGCAGCCCCGUCAGCAGGAUCCCCUCGAGAACGGGGUAAUUGCAGUGGGAGCGAGCGCUCCAAAGGCCCUGGGGAGAUGACUUCAGGGAAAAGCGGCCUUAAUCCCUGAGUCAGGCAGAUGCGGCCAUGGGAACCAUCCACCCAGAGGCUGGAGGGGAGACUCCGCCGUGGCUAAAGCCAUCCUGCUGACAGGGCCCAGGGACGCCCCCAGUGGCCAAACACACGUGGGAACGGGAUCGUCCCCCUCCUCUGUGACGUGGCCAGCCCUCCAACCCUCUGGCUCCUGACUCAGAGGACAACAUCUCCCCAUGAACGCGGUGUCCCUGGAGAGAAGAGUCUGCCCAGCCUGGGGAACAUGGGAAUGUGGAGAGGGAGGGCAUCCCGGAGCCUCAGGGCUGACGGGGCCCUGCCCCAGCCCUGGAAACACCUCAGGGACAAGAGAGUCACUCCUCAAGCGCGGACUUUCUGCUGUGCUGGGGCCUUCCGCCUUCCAACCACUCUGGCCCCUUUGGGCUCUAGGUGGAGUGUGCUGAACAGUGUCCCCAAAAUUCACGUCCAGUGGAGCUGCAGGAUGUGUCCUAGCUACAAAUGCGGUCUCCGCAGGUGCAAUUAGCGAAGGACCUUGAGAUAAGAUCAUCCCGGAUUAGAGUAGGCACUAAGGCCGACAACAAGCAUCCUCAGCGACACAGAGGAGACAGAUCCAGGGGAGACAGAGCCGGAGCCAGCCCAGGAUGCCUGGAGCCACAGGCAGCUGGAAGGGGAAGGUGGCACCUUGGGUCUGGACCUCUGGCUGCCAGGACCGGGACCGUCUGCAUGUCUGUUGCUAAAGCCAGUCUGUAGGCAUCUGUCACCACACGAGGGGCCAACCGUGCCACCCAGGGGAGACCUCCCUGGCUUCUCAGUGCGUCAGAUAUGGUCAGGGGCAGGACAGCUGCAGCUCACACCCCACUUCUCAGUCACCAGCCGAGUGCACAGCCAAUGGAUCCUCAUCUAAGAGGUGGCUGUGAGUCCCGUGUGGUCAGCAUCCUACAGCUAUAGCUGCCCUGUGGGCUCAGGGAGGACGUGCAGUGACCACCACAUGGGUUCGGUCCAGAGCCCAGGCCAGAGUGCAUGCCCACCCCAGGCCAGAGUGCAUGCCCACUCCAGGCCAUGGCGCCGCUUUUCAGAUGCCUGUUUCGCUCUGGCCGUCUAACGUCUGGGAACCGUGAUGGGGCAGGAAUUUGGGUUUGGGGGUUCUGGCGGUGACCAGAUGGCACUUUUGGACCACCAACAGUGUCUGUCGGUCUUGGAAACUCAUGAAGGAGUGGGCCCUUUGCUUAGAACUGCCAACCUCACACCAGAAGUAAAAGCUUUUUCCAACUCCACAGGCCGGAAAAGACCUUGAGAACUGUCCCCAGCACAGGGCUGUGGCUGUGGCGCCUCCCACACUCACCUUUUCCUGCGGCUGCUCUGGCCUCUGUCCAUGCGUCUGACGAAGGGCACCGGGAGGUGAAGGCCGCGGGAAAACAAGCCCCGCUCCCGUCCUUUGAUUCUGUCCCAGCACACGGCACCGGCAGAGCCCCAGCUUCCCCAGCCUGUCAUCCUCCCGAGGCCGACAGCACAGAAGCAUGGCAGGCCCAGGACACACUCAGAGCUCCCAGAGCAAGCGGCAGGUCAAGCGUCCUUUAUCAACUGCGAGGACUUCGAGGCCCAAAAGAGGUGUCCUGAGUCGCGAAGUACCCACCCUUGGGGCAGCCAAUGCCGCAGCCCUGGCUUCAGGCCCAGGUUGUCUGGAGCGGAGCCGCACUCGAGCCUGGCACCAAUCUGGGAGCUCCUGAGCGCAAUGUCCUGUCUGUCCCUGCAUGACCCUGAGCCUGUCUGAGACGCCUCACAGAGAGACGCCCUGGAGUACCCCACAGGGAGGCCAGCCUGGAAGCUUCUUUGGAAAGUGAGCUUUGGCAGCUCGAGGCCGAGCUGUGGCCGACUCCUCCCUCGGUUAACAGCCUGGACCCAGCUGGGGUUCACUUUGAGGCCCUGGGGCGUGCCCUAUUUCCUGCCAGGAGAGCGGGGCCCGAAGCUCCAUCCUGUCCCCCAAAACUCAGACGUGGAAGCCCUAACCCCGGUGUGGCUGUACAUGGACAUGGGCCCUCUACAGAUUAAGGCAGCCCCAAGAGAAAAAGCAGCUGGGAAAAAGGCUCAGAAUCAGUGAUUUCCCCAAGAUCACACAGCCCAAGACCAAAGCCUGGGCCAGCCAGCCUUAAAACCUGUGCGCCAGCCUGCUCUCACCUGUUCCUGAAUGCUAACAGUGGACACGUCUGAGUGAUGGGGUUACCAGGUUUGUUUUGUUUUCCAUGCUUAUCUCAUCUUCUUUAAAAAGCAGACAGAAACACAGAGACAAUCCCACACCUGUCCAUGGAAUGAUGAAUAAAUCACAGCAUGACCAGGAGCAUGGCCCCGUCGGGGGAGGGUGAGGGGCGACAGCACGUGGGACUCUGACAGACCCAGGGUGAGAUGGCGCAGGGGAGGUCUGCAUGGCAGGCAAGGCCCCUGCCAGGCCUGGAAUGUUCCACAUACCCCCCAGGUGAGGUUACAACGCAUCAACUGGGCUCUCAAGACUCACAGACAUCGCAGCAUAAAAAAUGAGAAACCUGCCAGAGCCCCUCCCAGUGGUGGCCACGCUGUCCCACAGGAGCACUCCUGUGUCCCCCUCUGGGUCGGAUUUCACUUGCUGGGUGAUUUUCCCAGAGGGAAAUCUCCAUGUUGUACAGCACUGCAGAGCUGCGGACUGGGAGGCACCCAGGGACGGGACUUCAUGCCCUGGGAAGGACACACAGGCAAAGCCUCGAGGGGCUGCCGGUGGGGCCUGGGGGACGUACUCACCCUUCCCGAUCUGGACGAAGCCCAGCAGGAUGAUCAGGGCCAGGGCCAGGAGCUUGGCGGCGGCAAAGGCAUCCUGGACCCGGGUGGCGGCCUUCACGCUGUAGCAGUUCACGGCCGUGAGCAGCACUGUUGAGACAGAGGGCAGCGGUGAGUUCCACGGGCUCACGGGCAGAUGCCAGCUCCAGCUCCGGGGUAGGCUGGGAGGUGACGACCCCACCCCCACCCCAGGGCCAGGGCUGAGUCCACUAGAAAAACAAGCUCCUUAAACAGCUCCAGUCCCAUGCCAGCCCUUAGGGCAGGUUCUGACUUUCUGGGACCUGUUUUGACAAACUUCACAGUUCUUUUAGGUCUAAGGGCUGGAUCCCAGGUGCCCCUUAAGAUCUGCAAGGGACCUUUCCUCACCCCCCCAACCACACCAGGCCAUGGAGUCCUGUAGUCAGGACUUCAAGUGGGGUCGCUGCCUCCAGAGACCCAGGUGAGCAAGGUGACCCUGCCACUUGGAAGGCACCCAUUACACCUUUUUGCACCUACUCAGCACCUCACCUGACCGUGAGACCCACGCACAGCCCGGCUGCCAGACUCCAUGAGGGCGGGGCCCUUUCCUCAAAGAGGAUCUUCUGUGGAUUCCAACAGAAGUGGGGUGUCCUGCUAUCCUGGAACUACCUGGCCAGUCACCUGGGGACGGCAGCCUGGGAGGGGCCACACGGGCCUGCGGUGAGCAGAGCUGACCCUGCUGCCCUGCUGCUUUGGGGGCACACGAUGAAACCCAAAAUAGCACCAUGUGCUUCAGAAGCCUGAGUGACCCCACACAGAUGGCCAGAACCCCUGCCCCAGGAGGCGCUGAGACGUGGGGUCAGGCACGCUUAGACAGGUCUCCAGACACCAGCAAGUCCUCCUGAGCCCUGUAAGGCACCCAGCUCUGAGCCAGUGUGUGUGUGUGUGUGUUGUGUGUGUGUGUGGUUUUGGGGAGUUCUGUUGUAAUAUGUAGGCACGCUGAGCCACUAUUCAGGGAUCUGUGAGCUGGUGGGGAAACAGCCACCCCCACAACUUAAAAUGAAGUAAAAUCAUAUUAACCCCGAGGCACUGACUCCACGACACCCCUCACUGCCUGCUGCCCUACCCUUCACUCCUCUGCCCACGAGGUUAUUCGUCGCUGUCAGUAGCUUGAAAUAUGCCAGUGGGAACGUCUACACCCCAGAAGUGGGCAAAGGCCCAGCACGGGCCACCCACACAGCUCGGAUCUCACAGCCCUUCCGGCACCGCUCAGACUGCAGGAAGGUGACAGCAUCGGAAAGGCCGUAGGCGCCUCUUCUCUUUCCCCAUGGGAGUAACCUCUUCUCUUUCCCCAUGGGAGUAACGCUCAGAAAGGUCUGGCCAGCCAGGGCCUUGAGGACGCCGGUGGCUUUUCCCCAGCUGAACAAAUCCUAUGGAAUUUUACAAUGUGAGCAACAGACCCUGAGGAAAGACAUCCAUGCUAAUUAACUGAUGACACUGGAAACGUCCUGUGGUGUGGGACGGGCUGCCGCCUGCCUAUCUCUCAGAAAUUAACCACCCCGCUACAAUUCUGUGGAUGCCAGAGCGGAGACGGCUACUACACACCAGGAAAGUCUGGUUGAAAAAUGUCUGAAAGUCAGUGUUUUUGCUGCUAUUCCUACAAUAAAAUACUUGAAAUUCCCUUCCACUCCUCACCCAAACUGAAGAGGUGAUUCUUCACUUCUUCCCAGGGUUCCCAGGGACAUGGAGAUGUUACCAGUCCAGAGCUCUCCAGUCCAACCCUCAGGGCUCAGCAGGGUCAGAUCAGUGGGUCUAGGCAGCUCCUUCUCCGCUGCACAGGGCAAGGGGCAGGUCCUGGCUUGCCAGUCCCAUUUCCUUAUGGUUGGGGGGGUGUGACCAUAAAAUAAACUGAGCCUCGGGGAAC